UUUCAUUUCAUUUUUGUCAUCUUAGCAUCUUAGAGUACAAUACAAUAAAUACAAGGUCCAUGAAAUUACAGAUAAAAAAUCCAGUUAUUGGGUGCAUGCACAAACAGUAUAUUAGAGCUUGUGGAAUAUUCUAGAAAAGAUAUAUUGUACAACUAUUGUGAUAGCACAAGAACUCAUUAUUUUCAGUUGGACAUUUUUAGAUGUGUACACAUUGACCUUUACGACACCUAAGUUUAUAUCCAUGUUGCACUUUUGGACAAUCUUUAUCCGUUGUACAAGGAUGAGACACUACAAUCAAAAACAGAAUGAAACAUUGUUACUAAAACAUAAUAAAAUUUAUUUCAUGUAUAUACUAUGAAGUAAAGAAGGAAAUUUGAGAAGGAUGAAAUGGUGGAUCAUAUUAAUUGAUAACUUACCAUCGGUUACUUUCUUUUGAGGGGUACAAUCAGUUACUUUGGUGACAAGAAACAUGGAAAGAAAUAGAAACAUAACACACACAAACUUUAGAGUUUCAGUCAUAUUUUUUUCUCUUUG
Molecule: long non-coding RNA, 534 nt
Filed under: Medicago truncatula (barrel medic)
Lineage: Eukaryota; Viridiplantae; Streptophyta; Magnoliopsida; Fabales; Fabaceae
Description: lncRNA gene3014
Source: RNAcentral